RNAcentral lists this ribosomal RNA (465 nucleotides) under Vreelandella stevensii. RNAcentral's name for it is "partial 16S ribosomal RNA". It matches the Rfam family "Bacterial small subunit ribosomal RNA", at positions 338 to 795 of the family's 1533-position model. Lineage: Bacteria; Pseudomonadati; Pseudomonadota; Gammaproteobacteria; Oceanospirillales; Halomonadaceae. The record is from RNAcentral.
CCUACGGGUGGCAGCAGUGGGGAAUAUUGGACAAUGGGGGGAACCCUGAUCCAGCCAUGCCGCGUGUGUGAAGAAGGCCCUCGGGUUGUAAAGCACUUUCAGGGAGGAAGAACGCCUGGUGGUUAAUACCCAUCAGGAAAGACAUCACUCACAGAAGAAGCACCGGCUAACUCCGUGCCAGCAGCCGCGGUAAUACGGAGGGUGCGAGCGUUAAUCGGAAUUACUGGGCGUAAAGCGCGCGUAGGUGGCUUGAUAAGCCGGUUGUGAAAGCCCCGGGCUCAACCUGGGAACGGCAUCCGGAACUGUCAAGCUAGAGUGCAGGAGAGGAAGGUAGAAUUCCCGGUGUAGCGGUGAAAUGCGUAGAGAUCGGGAGGAAUACCAGUGGCGAAGGCGGCCUUCUGGACUGACACUGACACUGAGGUGCGAAAGCGUGGGUAGCAAACAGGAUUAGAUACCCGAGUAGUC